GAAAGUAAUGAAGGGCGUACGGUGGAUGCCUAGGCUCUUACAGGCGAUGAAGGACGUGAUAAGCUGCGAAAAGCCGCGGUGAGGCGCAAAUGGCCCUUGACCCGCGGAUCUCCGAAUGGGACAACCCAAUAUCUUGAAGAGAUAUUAUCCCGCCGAUGCGGGAGGCGAACGCGGGGAACUGAAACAUCUUAGUACCCGCAGGAAAAGAAAAUAAAGAAUGAUUCCCCCAGUAGUGGCGAGCGACCGGGGAAGAGCCCAAACCGACGUUGUCUCGGCAUCGUCGGGGUUGUAGGACCGCGCCAUCGCAAGAAAGGCCGUGAGUGGAAGCGACUGGAAAGCCGCGCCAUAGAGGGUGACAGCCCCUUACACGAAGCAGCCCGAAGCGUAGCGGACUCCUGAGUAGCGCGGGACACGAGUAAUCCUGUGUGAAUCCGCCGGGCCCAUCCGGCAAGGCUAAAUACUCGUAAGAGACCGAUAGUGAACCAGUACCGUGAGGGAAAGGUGAAAAGUACCCCUUGCAGGGGAGUGAAAGAGUUCCUGAAACCGUACGCCUACAAGCGGUCGGAGCAUCUUGAAUGAUGUGACGGCGUGCCUUUUGCAUAAUGAACCUACGAGUUGCCGUCACCAGCGAGGUUAAGUGCGAUGACGCACCGAGCCGCAGCGGAAGCGAGUCUUAAAAGGGCGCAAUAGUUGGUGGAGGCAGACGCGAAACCGAGUGAUCUACACUUGUCCAGGAUGAAGUCCCGGUAACACGGGAUGGAGGUCCGCACCAAUAAGCGUUGAAAAGCUUCUGGAUGAGGUGAGUGUAGGAGUGAAAGGCCAAUCAAACUCGGAGAUAGCUCGUACUCCCCGAAAGGCAUUUAGGUGCCGCCUGUGGCGUUCCCGACGUGAGGUAGAGCGACUGAUAGGAUGCGAGGGCUUCACCGCCUAUCAAGUCCUGACAAACUCCGAAUGCACGUCGGCCAAGCCAUGGAGUAAGGGCAUGGGUGCUAAGGUCCGUGCCCGAGAGGAGAAGAAUCCAGACCACCGGCUAAGGUCCCGAAAUACUGGUUAAGUUAGACUAACGCAGUCCGGCCCCCAAGACAGCUAGGAUGUUGGCUUGGAAGCAGCCAUUCAUUCAAAGAGUGCGUAACAGCUCACUAGUCGAGGAGCUGGGCGUGGAUAAUAAUCGGGUAUGAAACCAGUUACCGAAGCCGUGGGAUGCUUAAGCAUCGGUAGGGGAGCAUUGCAUGCGGCUUAGAAGGCGGGGCGCGAGCCCCUCUGGAGCGCAUGGAAACGCAAAUGUAGGUAUAAGUAACGACAAGGGGGGUGGGAUGCCCCCCCGCCGAAAGACCAAGGUUUCCUGAACAACGCUAAUCGGUUCAGGGUCAGUCGGGUCCUAAGCAUAAGCCGUAUGGCGAGGGCGAUGGACGAAACGGUUAAUAUUCCGUUACUGUCUUGGUGUGUGACGCGGCGACGGAGUAGUGACACGGCCGCCUCCUGACGGAAAAGGAGGUUGAAGCGCAAAGGUGUCGAGGAAGGCAGGCAAAUCCACCUUCCGAGCCGAAGCGCGAAAGUACGCCGGGCCCUUUGGGGCAAGGCGAUAGUGCCGGUAAUCAGACUUCCAAGAAAACCCGCUAAACUUCAGCACCAAGUCACCCGUACUCCAAACGGACACACGUGGUCGGGUAGAAUAUACUAAGGCGCUUGGGAGAUUCACGGUUAAGGAACUAGGCAAAUUGACCCCGUACCUUCGGAAUAAGGGGUCCUCGCUUUUGCGAGGCGCAGAGAAUAGGUCCAGGCAACUGUUUAACAAAAACACAGGGCUGUGCAAAUUUGAAAGAAGAAGUAUACAGCCUGACACCUGCCCGGUGCCGGAAGGUUAAGAGGAGAGCUCAUCAGCGAUGAGAAGGCUUGAAUUGAAGCCCCGGUAAACGGCGGCCGUAACUAUAACGGUCCUAAGGUAGCGAAAUUCCUUGUCGGGUAAGUUC
RNAcentral lists this ribosomal RNA (1970 nucleotides) under human gut metagenome. Its description in RNAcentral is "bacterial LSU rRNA". It matches the Rfam family "Bacterial large subunit ribosomal RNA", at positions 1 to 1983 of the family's 2925-position model. The record is from RNAcentral.